Molecule: long non-coding RNA, 6489 nt
Filed under: Sus scrofa (pig)
Lineage: Eukaryota; Metazoa; Chordata; Mammalia; Artiodactyla; Suidae
Description: lncRNA (ENSSSCG00000056107.1)
Source: RNAcentral
ACCAUGGCUUCCACCCACCCCUUAAAGCUGCUCAUGGGAGGAUCUCUGUCCACUCCCUGAUUGCCCUUCUCCAGCCCAUUUCUGAGACAGAGAAGGGUUUAGAUCUGCGGGUGUGAUUUAUAACCCACAUUUGCAAAGCUGGUACAUUUUCACAAGUUCUUGCUAACAUAAUGGGCAAUUUCUGCCAGCAAUUUAAAUAUUUAGAAAUAAGAGGACACACUCUACUGCCUGAUAAGAGCAGUUUAAUGAAGGUCAUAUGUGGGUCCUGACGUGUUGGACAAAAUUCUGUGUAUAAUUGAUGUGUAAAUGUCGUCACGUAGGGAGAACUGAGCACGUAGGAUGGGGUAGCCCCCAGAGAGGAUGGCAGGAUGGGCACUGAAAACAGACUUUAUCAGAUUAUAUAAUAAUCCUCUCAUUUAGGGUACCUCGACCUCUUCAAUACCUUUCAUACAACAGUAAAUCACCCUUUCUCUCUGGCUCUUGUUUCUAAAAGUGGGUCAUCUUCAGGGCUUGCCUUUCAGUUUCUGAGAAAUGUCUAUUGUCUUCCCUCCUCUUGUUUAGCCACGAGAAUGAAAGAGACAGAGACUAGCCACUUAGGUCAUUGAAAGAGUACGCUGGCAUUUUUGUCCUUUGCUCCCUAAGACUUUGCAACUGAUGUGCAUGGGACCAGGUUUGCACCGAGAGAGCAAAGAACAGGCAAUGAUUUAGCGUAUUAUUCUCUGGUUCUAAUAGAGCCAUACACCAAGAUUCUUAAGAAUCUCUCCAAAUUCCUUUAGGGAAAACAACAACAACAACAACUCAAAUCCAUGGUAAUGGCUGCUGGGGGCCCCAUUCUGAGGAUCCCAGGGGAGGUUCAUUGGUGAUAAAUGCUGGAACCCUGGAACAGAACAAAUUGGUCUCAUAAGCAGCCAGGGACAGCCUUUCUGAAUACAGCUGCUUUCUUCAUUAGAAAGCUAAAAAUAGCCCCGAUCAUUGCAGGCUGGUUUCACUUUAAGCCUUCUGCCACAUCCAUUUGUCUGUUUCAUUCAGGGUUUCUGCGUGUCUAUGACACUGUGAUACUAUUUCAGAUGAAAAGUACAUUGAAGAAAUGUUUGCUUUUCCCUCCCCCAUGUUCACUCCAGAUGUCCCCAACUGUCCAACACUGUUUCAUACUAGAACUCACGGGAAUCUUCCGGCAUCCUCACCAUCCCCAUCUGCUUCACUCAUUUUUGGAAAAAUAAACACCAUUCCACGUUGCAAGCAAGAGUCUACAAUUAUUAAGGUUUUGCUUUUUUUUCAAGGAAAUGUUCAUUACAUGUGUGAUUUUCUAUGGCUAGCUCAUGAAAUUCGGAGCAUAAACUACCCUUUCCGCUGAUGCAGGAUUUUACCAGAUCCUCUACUCAGACUUAGUUUGAGAAGACUUUUUUUUUUUUUUUUUUCCUCCUGGGGCUGGCUGACUCUUGGCUCUGGGCAAAGCCAGUUUCCUUUCUAGCUUUUAAAAGUGAUAAGGAAGCCCGCUGUGGGGGCAGCCUACGUGAGUAGAUCAGUCUGUGGCCAUUGGGGAGAAUGUAUAGUCUUUGUCUUCUCCAUCUUUCCUCCCUAAGGAGGUUGGCUUUGCAUGAUGCAUGGAGGUGGCACCAUGACGAGAGCAAGGUGGAUCCCCUGUGUCAUUUACGGCAGUCUGGCCUGCUCUCUUCCCUCCUUUCAGCACCCAGGAUAUUGAGGGAAUGGAACAUAUAAGAGGGAAAAAAAUGAGAGAAGAACAAAAGACAUCAACCUGCUUUAAUACUAUCCAUUUACAAAAAGUCCACUCAGGGAACAGGCACACAAAGCUACACGGGGAACCAUUCAUAAUUAAAACAGGGAAAAUAAACCUCAACCUUAAAUCCAACCACAUUGCAUAUACCCUUGUAUAUAGAAAAGCAUGAUUUUAAUGGCUUUAAUAGGACUGAAAAUCCUAAAGAUGGGAGCUAAUGUUGCUAUGGAAACUUUUCCAUGUCUUGACUGCAGAACUCUUAGUUGAAAUUUGCAAACUUAGUAUCACAUUAGCUUUUUUCACACUGGAUUUCUGGUUGGUCUUUUAAGAAGAUAAAAGGAGAAAAACUCCAUGUCAUACUAGUACUUUUUGUCACACUCCUAGCCAAAGGAGAGGGCGGUUUAUCAUCAUCUGAUGCUUUUUUCCCCCUGUCUGCUCAGGGAAACCUCUACCAAAGAGCUUACAUAAGGGCUUUGCAGGGUAAGGAUUUUAUAGUCAAGCAUGAUGAAUUCAGUGCCAACAUUUAAAAAAUUUGAAUUCUUUUCUCAUAGAAUCAGAUGUCCAAAGUCUGCAUCAAUAGACAGGGGGUUUGUGAAUUAAAAUUCCUAAUGACACAGAGCUCAAAGCCCUACAGAGUGUAGAAAAAUCUCUGAGCUCAGCCCCCAAAGGCAUGGCGAUGCCUGAAGCCUAUGCUCAUGUGCUGCCCUCCUGCACAGGACUGGAAAGUCAGGCCCUUCAUGGGUUAAAAGCGAUGUGAAAAGCAUGCCACAUGGAGAAUUGUGCAGUGAUCAUUUGGAAGGCUUGACUAUCCCUGGCCCCACUCUUCAUCACCUUCUCCCUACUCUCAGCCCAGCCUCAGUUGGGAGGUGGGGUUGCGUAUCAGUAGAAGGCUUAGCAAACUGGAAGCUUUGCAAGUUUUAGAGUCCGGUGGGCCUGAUUAAAAAGUGAGCUCCACCAUGGGGGCAGGUUCUUCAACUUCGAGGAGCUUCGGUGUUGUCACUAAAUGGAGAUAAUACUGCCUUCUUGUAUAUGGACGUCGUAAGGAAUGAUUGAGAUGACAUAUGCCAGAUACUGGGUACUUUUCCUGGCUCAUAGCACUGCAGAUUCUUCAUAAAUAUGUUGUCCUGCAGUUGAGAAGUGUGCAUCGUCAGAGCCUUUGGGGCCAGGAAGGAGCAAACUAGAUCCAGGCUGCCAUCUAAUGAGUCCUUGUGAAGGGACAUAAACUCCUCCUCUUCCCCCAUCUCUACUAUUACAUAUUUUGAUUGUUUUCCCCUAAAUCCAUCUAUUUACUCUGAAACUCAAUGUUUGUGCUGUGAUGACCUCAUCUUGGUCCCUACUGUAUUCUCAAGGCUUUUGCAUAAGGGCUGCAUAAUAAAUACUUUUGGAUGCAGGGGUGAGAUGUGGGGGUAUGAGGCACACAGAAUUUAGGAUGGGGGCUAUAAUUUAAAAAUUUUAAAAAGCCACAAAUGCAGACUCUGGUUCAGGGCUUAGGAAGGAGCCCAUGCAAUCAUGGCACCCUGAAACUAAAGCUUUGUGUGUAAAUUAACCCUUAUCUGGGGUAGUGACCAUGGUCUUGAGAACUAUUAAUGAGUGAUCGCCAGCCUUUUUGUGACCUUGUCCUUUGCUGGCACCUUGUUUUGGUCCUAGGACAAUUCAAUUUAGGUCUGUCACUUGAGGUGCAGACUAAUGAUGAGAAACCAUUACACCCACAAGUUAUGUCCAGGUGGUGUGGGAUGGAUAGCCAUAUUCAGAAUCUGGUUUUUAUCAAUAACCUACAAUCCAUCUGUUGGGACUGCCACAGCAAAAUACCACAGAUUGGGUGUCUCAAACAAGAGACAUUUAUUUCUCAUAGUUCUGAAAGCUGAGAAGUCCAAGAUCAAGGUACUGGAUGAUUUGAUCUCUGGUGAGAGUCACCUGCCUGGCUUGUACCGUAAAUGGGCAACUUUUCAUUACGUCCUCACAUGUCCUUUCUCCUGUGAAUUCCCAGAAAGAGAGAGAGAGAGAAAGAGAAUCUUGCCCAUUCUAUAAGGCCACCAGUCCUACUGGAUUAGGGCCCCAUCACUGUGACCUCAUUUAACCUUAAUUACCUCUUAACAACCCUGUUUCCAAAUACAGUCCCAUUGAGGGUGGGGCUCCAAUGUGUGGAUUUUGCAGGGGACAUAAUUCAGUCCAUAGCACCUACUGAGCCUACUUCUGGCUUCCUCUCUGGCUCUUAAUUUGAAGACUCACUUACCUCUUUAGGCUUCAAUAUGCUCAUCAGAUCCGGGGAUAACAUUAGAGCAGAGCAGAGUGGAGUAAAUAACCUCCAGGAAGUGGAACCAAAUGGCAUCCCCCACAGGGCAGUUUUUUCAGCAGGGAUGUUGAGAAGAUGCAAGGUGUUGAAAGGAGAGGCCAGCAUGGUCCUUGGCCCCCUUUGAAGCUGUACUCUCUUCCCUAUCCUGCUUUUUGCUUUCAUAUUUUACUGCUCUUUUUCCUCCUUCCUGUUCCCCCCUCCUUUCUCUCUAUUUUUAAUAGUGUAUCAUCAGACACAGUAGUUCUUGGCCCUCUUCGUGAUGCGACCUGCUUUCAAUUCCCCCCACCCCCAAUUAAGGGGUUGACGUCUGGGUAAGAAGUGGGGAAGCAGAGUGGGCAGAAUAGGUGGGAGGGCUGGGUGGGGUUGAUGUAAGACAUGAGAAACAACUGCGUUAUCCCAUGGCAGGGAGGCAAGGGGAAUGACAGCAAGAGAAUGGAGUGGUAGGCACCGGCACAGAGCAAGAACUACCCCAGGUAAUAACUCCAGGUCUCAAUUUUCUUAUCAGUUUCUUAAAAAAAAAAAAACUGGAGUAGAAAAUCCUCCAGGUGCCCUCAAUCUGUACUAUACUGUACCUCUGUACCUCUUUCUACUUUACCUUACUAGGAAAGGGCAUUGAUAAAUAAAACUCUGUGUGCCUUGUAAGAAAAUCAUUAUGUAAAUUCGAAGUACUGCUCAAAUUAAUUCUAAUGAGGUUCAGGGGGAAAAACAAGUAACAACCAAAACUCUUUAAUAAAGUGUUCUAAAAAGAAAAAAAGAAUUAUCGCCCACUUCUGCACUUCCUGCUUUUGGCAGGGACUCGAAGUGGAAAUCUGAAAACACUGUGAGACAGUCUGUUCUCAUGGUAUUUCUAGCUGAGAACAGGAAGGAGGGGAAAUCUCAUAUGAGUGAGAGAGCCUGUUUUUCAGUGAUUAGCAGGCCAAAGAAGUUUCGCUGGGCAAUCAAGCUUGACAGCACCUCUAAAAGUUCUACCUUUAUUUGGUCAGCAGAACAGAUUUUGCCAGGAGCCCCAGCAUAAUCACCAAAACACAACCGUCAUCUGCCAUGUAAGCCAAGGGGCUCUUCUCCCUGAGCCUGGGUGUUAGGUGCUGGCGACCCAGACGUGAGCCAUAUGGCCCCUACCCUUCUGGAGCACAGAGCAAAGUUGGAAGGAUCAGGAAUCUAUAAAUGACAAAUAAUUACAAUGCUAAGCAGCCUCUGCUGAGUGCUAACUUAGCCAUGCAGACAAUGCUAGGAGAGAGGCUUCCAUGUGCUGCACAAAAUUCCUUAUUGGUUUGCAUUCAUUCUCUACCUCACCACUGUACUCUCAUCACUCAGCACGGGCAUAUUCUGCCCCUUUAGGCAUAAAACAUUUCUUAAGUCCUUGGACUCUUUGGCCCAACCCAAGUCACAACAGAUUGCCUUGUGUGUGAUGCCCAUGAGUCACUGAGGCUGAAUCAUGUUCACAGUAAGCAUGUAAUGAUUAAUGCAUAUUGAUUUGCUGGGCGUGCUGAAACCAGAACAAUCCCAGAGCCUAGACUAGUUGUGUUGUCCCUAAUUACCUGCCAGAGGCUUACGUGCACUGGUGUCUAAGGCUGCAGUAGACACUCCAGGGAACGCACUUAGUCACCAUGACUCCAACUGAGACUCAUAAAUCACCUAAGGUGCAUGUCAAUGGCAUCUUUACAACCAGGGCCCCUUGAGGGCACAGGUGGAGAGAUGAGCUUUCCUUCCCCCACCCUCCCCUAGAGAAGAACACAGGAAUCCCCCAUCUGAGUGCAAUCCUCUCCCUAAGUGGCAACCUUUCCUGGAAAAAAAUAAAAACGAUUUGAUGUUCUCUUUGAAAUAAUGUAACGAUGAGGCUUAAAUUCUGAACAAGGGACUAACGGUGACUUGUUGAAAUGCUGAUCAUUAACAUCUUUAAUCUGCUAUUUAUUUAACCCUGGGUGCUAUGCCUAUAGAGCGAAUAGUAAAAUGCUUACAAAAAUGUUUGUAAAUUAGACAGAUACAGUUGGAGCCCAUCACUAUAAUGAUUUAUCAUAUUUACUAUGUUUUAACCUCUGUGAUUGCUUCGUGACACAUACCAGGUGAGAGGUCGGAGAGAUGUGUUCAGUGGUGGCAUGGAAUUCAGGAUUUCUCUGGGUUAAUUUUGUCUGGACCUUUGAGAAAUCUUAGGAUUGCUUCAUGGGUUUUUAUUUCCUGUGAGGACUAUCAAAAAGAAUUAAGACAGACUCAGCCAGCAAAAGAGCAUACAAUCUGGAGUUCUUGCCAUGGCUCAGUGGUUAAUGAACCUGACUAGGAUGCAUGAGAAUGCAGGUUUGAUCCCUGGCCUUGCUCAGUGGGUUAAGGAUCCCGCAUUGUGUGAGUGGUGGUGUAGGUCACAGAUGUGGCUAGGAUCCCGAGUUGCUGUGGCUGUGGCGCAGGCCAGCAGCUGCAGCUCCAAUUGGACCCCUAGUCUGGGAAGUUCCAUAUGCCAUGGGUGAGG